GACAUGUAGCUCAGUUGGAUAGAGCGGCGCUCUCCUAAAGCGCAGGCCGAAGGUUCGACUCCUUUCAUGUCC
RNAcentral lists this transfer RNA (72 nucleotides) under human gut metagenome. It matches the Rfam family "tRNA". Rfam says of the family: Transfer RNA (tRNA) molecules are approximately 80 nucleotides in length. Their secondary structure includes four short double-helical elements and three loops (D, anti-codon, and T loops). The record is from RNAcentral.